CAUUAGUGACCCUUCAGCAGAUGCAUUCACUUGACUCUGGGUGGUGGCAUUGAGACCAUCAUAAAAUAUGUCAUUUAAAGCUUUGUUUGAAGGAAAUUUGGUUAACUAUUGGAUGAUGUAUUAAGCAUUUGUUACUUACUUCUUGGCAGUGUAUUUCAUGGUUGGAACUUAUAUAUGAAAUCAAAUUGAGAAGUUGGCUACUAAGUUGUUGAGUCUAGUCCUAGUUGAGUGGUUUUGUUUUGUGUUUUGUUUUGCUAGAGGACUAGCAAAAACGUAAGUUUGGGGGUAUUUGAU
RNAcentral lists this long non-coding RNA (294 nucleotides) under Malus domestica (apple). RNAcentral's name for it is "long non-coding RNA (MDOM_LNC000441)". Lineage: Eukaryota; Viridiplantae; Streptophyta; Magnoliopsida; Rosales; Rosaceae. The record is from RNAcentral.